Molecule: long non-coding RNA, 778 nt
Filed under: Homo sapiens (human)
Lineage: Eukaryota; Metazoa; Chordata; Mammalia; Primates; Hominidae
Description: non-protein coding lnc-RASGRP1-1:1
Source: RNAcentral
CUUUUUUUUUUUUGAAGAUGUGAAAUCUUGUACUGGUCGUUGGUUGUUUCUCUUUCAGUACAAUCAGAAAAUAGUGGAAUACUGAAUUAUGGGAAGCUUCCAUUAUCUCAGGUGUCAACAUUCCAUAGGUUGGUGUGGGGGCAGUUUUUAUGUUCUAUAAUACAAAGCAUACUAAAUGGAAUAAAUGGAAAUUUAGAGUCACAGUUAAACAUUCGACUUAUGUCUUCUCUUUUAAGCAUUUUAAACUACCUCUAUUAUAUUGAUUUUUAGAAGAAUUGUUUUCUAAAGAAAACUGCUUCCUGAUGUUGGCGCAGUGCUGUGUUUAGUCAUUCCUCCCAAUGCCAGUGAUCCCUUAAAUCUGGGUGUUGUCCAUCAUCAUCCCUGCCCGUCUCCGUGCAUCCACAACUGCCACAUCCUGAGAGCUCAGUCCAUCAUGGCAAGUUCAUCAAACUGUGUGCUUAGAAGCUCUGGAGCAGAACUCUCACCCACCAGAAGAUUGCCUCAAGAGAUAAAAGAUGAUUUACAACCCAAAGUAUGCCCACUAGAGGUUUUGGCCAUUUUUACAAUGUAUUCCUGCCCAUGAAGAUGCCAACUUGACUGCCCAAUACAUAAAGCACCAAAGCAAGUAUGCGGACCCCCCCACACCUCCUCACUUCUGCUCCUGUGUAGACCCCCAUCUUUAAAAGCACUUACUUUCUCCUGCAAAAGCAAAUCAGACCCUUACAGCAGGAAGGCUUUUCUUCUUCUCCUAAACUAGCUUUGGAAUAAAAAGUUAUUU